ACGGGCAUAGCUCAAUCGGCUAGAGCACCAGACUCCAAAUCUGGGUGUUGGGGGUUCAAGUCCUCCUGCCCGUGCCA
RNAcentral lists this transfer RNA (77 nucleotides) under Halarsenatibacter silvermanii. RNAcentral describes it as "tRNA_Trp_CCA". It matches the Rfam family "tRNA". From Rfam's summary of the family: Transfer RNA (tRNA) molecules are approximately 80 nucleotides in length. Their secondary structure includes four short double-helical elements and three loops (D, anti-codon, and T loops). Lineage: Bacteria; Bacillati; Bacillota; Clostridia; Halanaerobiales; Halarsenatibacteraceae. The record is from RNAcentral.